RNAcentral lists this long non-coding RNA (876 nucleotides) under Salmo salar (Atlantic salmon). Its description in RNAcentral is "lncRNA (ENSSSAG00000099291.1, ENSSSAG00000121738.1)". Lineage: Eukaryota; Metazoa; Chordata; Actinopteri; Salmoniformes; Salmonidae. The record is from RNAcentral.
AGAAGCUUCAGCUUGAAGCUGUCAUCGGCCCUCUGUAUCUGUCUGCCUCCCUUUAUCACUUCCCCCCUCAUUUCUCCACCUCUUCUUAUUUAUCUCCCUCCCUCCCUCUCUCUGUCCCUGACUGUGAUGUGGAUGCAGCGUGUGAGCAGCAGCCAGUGAGCGUGCCUACGUUAGCAGUGUGUGCUGUUGGAAUCCAUGCAGCGGCUGACUGUACUGCCUCUUAAAUAGGAGCAAACAGACUCAUCGCUCGUGACUCUGACACCACUGAGACCAACGCUCCCUCUCCCGGACUGACGGGCCAAUCGCAGGACACCCCUCACUCUCUGUCUCUCUCUCUCUCUCUCCCUCUGAUUCUCUCUCUCGCAUUCAUUCCUUUGCUCUCUAUCUCUCUCUCUGUCUGUAGCUAAGUCUCUCUACCACACCUCGUCCAGAGCAGAGGAACAGAAAGCCCCCUGCCCAGCCCAGGGAUAGCCAGACCGCUGAGAGGAUGAAACUCUGACAAGCCGACAGACCGCAGGGAAACGAGCACAACUGCCCACAGAUAAUUGGUUGAAGAGAGAGUCCAGGAAGGUCAGCCAAGAAAGCAGCCGUAGGUGCCAGCGUGAAAUCUACAGGAACUACAAUUACUUCAACAGUGAGCCGCUGGAACAAGGUGAAUGACAGACGCUGUUUCACACAGAGUGAUGCUGAGACUGGCUUAGGCUUGCAGCACCACUGAAGACUGGUACACGGCACUAGACAAUGACUAUUAGCCCCAAGACCAGCGAACAGUGAUCAACUGACCUCUGAGACAGGGUUCAUUAGUAUCAACAGUGAGUGAAUCACCCAGCUUUGGCCCGUCCGGCGUUACCUGUACAUGGAGACCCCCAGCUGGGC